AUACACCUAUGCGCACUUAAAUAGACCCACCUGACCGUAUGUCACCUAUUCUCUCCUUCUCUCAGGUUAUUAAAAUUGUUCGAUGCCGACAUUCUAAAAGCCACUUAAGGGAAGAAAAGUGAAUCACAAAAAUCUAGAAAAGAAAACUUAAUGAAAAAUUAUGGAUAGAAGAAAAAAAAAUAGAAAAGAAAAUUGUUCAAUAAUAUUAAAUAUACCUAGACAUUAACUUAGAAUAGAAGAAGAAAAACAUGAAAUUUAUGCGUAGUUAAUAAUAGAUUCUAAAGGGUGCAUCAUCGGUCUCAUUGUGUCCAUGGAAGGGUAUUGGUAAAAUACCUCUUCAUAACGCUUCUUUGUUAUUUUGCAUAUUUCUACAUUUCUUUAACAGUUAGAACGUGAAAUUGGGACCAACGACACCAACAGCUGUUUAAAAGUCUGUAAGUAGACACACAUAUACACACAUACACUCCGGGUCAGGAGAAUAGCGUCUACACAGUGAGACAUGCAUGCUUAACCAUAAAUAAAAUGGAUUAUUAUUAACGAUAAUCACUACAAUUAUGCCAUUUAAUUCAUUUAAUUAAUUAAUUCUUACUUUAUAUUUUGAUUAUAUUAUUUUUAUUCAUAUUUGAUCAUUCUCUUGAAUUCCUAUGUAUUAAAUUAGUCCCAC
RNAcentral lists this long non-coding RNA (664 nucleotides) under Drosophila guanche. The record is from RNAcentral. Lineage: Eukaryota; Metazoa; Arthropoda; Insecta; Diptera; Drosophilidae.